RNAcentral lists this ribosomal RNA (1442 nucleotides) under Klebsiella pneumoniae. RNAcentral describes it as "partial 23S ribosomal RNA". It matches the Rfam family "Bacterial large subunit ribosomal RNA", at positions 812 to 2236 of the family's 2925-position model. Lineage: Bacteria; Pseudomonadati; Pseudomonadota; Gammaproteobacteria; Enterobacterales; Enterobacteriaceae. The record is from RNAcentral.
UGGCUGGGGGUGAAAGGCCAAUCAAACCGGGAGAUAGCUGGUUCUCCCCGAAAGCUAUUUAGGUAGCGCCUCGUGAACUCAUCUUCGGGGGUAGAGCACUGUUUCGGCUAGGGGGUCAUCCCGACUUACCAACCCGAUGCAAACUACGAAUACCGAAGAAUGUUAUCACGGGAGACACACGGCGGGUGCUAACGUCCGUCGUGAAGAGGGAAACAACCCAGACCGCCAGCUAAGGUCCCAAAGUCAUGGUUAAGUGGGAAACGAUGUGGGAAGGCACAGACAGCCAGGAUGUUGGCUUAGAAGCAGCCAUCAUUUAAAGAAAGCGUAAUAGCUCACUGGUCGAGUCGGCCUGCGCGGAAGAUGUAACGGGGCUAAACCAUGCACCGAAGCUGCGGCAGCGACACUAUGUGUUGUUGGGUAGGGGAGCGUUCUGUAAGCCUGCGAAGGUGACCUGUGAGGGUUGCUGGAGGUAUCAGAAGUGCGAAUGCUGACAUAAGUAACGAUAAAGCGGGUGAAAAGCCCGCUCGCCGGAAGACCAAGGGUUCCUGUCCAACGUUAAUCGGGGCAGGGUGAGUCGACCCCUAAGGCGAGGCCGAAAGGCGUAGUCGAUGGGAAACAGGUUAAUAUUCCUGUACUUGGUGUUACUGCGAAGGGGGGACGGAGAAGGCUAUGUUAGCCGGGCGACGGUUGUCCCGGUUUAAGCAUGUAGGCUGGUUAUCCAGGCAAAUCCGGAUAAUCAAGGCUGAGGUGUGAUGACGAGGCACUACGGUGCUGAAGUAACAAAUGCCCUGCUUCCAGGAAAAGCCUCUAAGCAUCAGGUAACAUCAAAUCGUACCCCAAACCGACACAGGUGGUCAGGUAGAGAAUACCAAGGCGCUUGAGAGAACUCGGGUGAAGGAACUAGGCAAAAUGGUGCCGUAACUUCGGGAGAAGGCACGCUGGUGUGUAGGUGAAGUCCCUGCGGAUGGAGCUGAGACCAGUCGAAGAUACCAGCUGGCUGCAACUGUUUAUUAAAAACACAGCACUGUGCAAACACGAAAGUGGACGUAUACGGUGUGACGCCUGCCCGGUGCCGGAAGGUUAAUUGAUGGGGUUAUCCGUAAGGAGAAGCUCUUGAUCGAAGCCCCGGUAAACGGCGGCCGUAACUAUAACGGUCCUAAGGUAGCGAAAUUCCUUGUCGGGUAAGUUCCGACCUGCACGAAUGGCGUAAUGAUGGCCAGGCUGUCUCCACCCGAGACUCAGUGAAAUUGAACUCGCUGUGAAGAUGCAGUGUACCCGCGGCAAGACGGAAAGACCCCGUGAACCUUUACUAUAGCUUGACACUGAACAUUGAGCCUUGAUGUGUAGGAUAGGUGGGAGGCUUUGAAGCGUGGACGCCAGUCUGCGUGGAGCCAACCUUGAAAUACCACCCUUUAAUGUUUGAUGUUCUAACGUUGGCCCCU